UCGGAUUGGAAGUCACACAAAGUGUAACAUCCCAAAAAUACAGGCCAAAAAUUUCGUUUUGAUUAAGUUAUAAUAUAAAACCAUCAGUAAUAAAACAUUCAUAUUCAUAUCUCAUGUCAAAACCAAAGUAGAAAUAAUCAAACGUGUUAUCAUAAAACAAUAUCAUAGUGUAAUCCCAAAGAUCUCAUGUGCGGAAAACCAUAGUGUGAUGCGCUGCGAUCAAGCCGACUCCUUUCCUUUAGACACGAAGUACCUAAAACCAAAACUGAAAACUGUAAGCACGAAGCUUAGUGAGUUCCCCCAUCAUACCACAUACCAUGAAAGCAUACAAAAUACAGCUAGGAGAUACGGGCCUUGCCCACACUCUGCUAGCCAGGAGAUACGGGCCUAGCCCACUCCACUAUCUGGGAGGUACGGGCCUCGCCCACACUCCACUCUCGGAGAGAUACGGGCCUUGCCCACACUCAACCGCUAACCCAUAAUAUACAAGUAUCACACAGACAACAAGUAUAGACAACUCUAUUAUACUGGCAUAUAUCAUAAUCAACUCAACCAAGAGAUACGGGCUCGGCCCACACUCUAAUACUAACAUCUCGUCUAUACGGGCCGGCCUUGGUGCCUUAGACCCAUUCCUACUGGAAGGAAAACUCACCUCACACUGCUGAAGUCCCGAAGACACAAUCCCUCACUUGCUGAAGUCCUGCAGACUCGACCCCAGCUGCUGGCUGACAGAUUCCCGAACUGUCAACACCAAAAUAACACCCAAUUAAUAAUUGGGUCCCAAUACAUAAUCAUACGUAUAUUCUUUGGGUAAUUACUACAUUACCCCUAGCUUGGCUUAUUCAAGCCCAAGGCCCAAUCCAUAGGCCCAAACUCGACUAGGAAUCAAAUCUCAACACAUGGCCCAAUUUUCCAAAUUGGGCCUAGGCCUAUACAUGGUCUCAUUCUAAGGCCCAACAUCAUAUAAUCAUUAAGGCCCAAACUAUGGCCCAUCUAUGGCCCAAUUUUCCAAAUUGGGCCCAAGCCCUCACAUGGGCCUUACCCUAGGCCCAUUAAAUUACUCUAGACCAUUUGCUUGAUCUUGGAUAGCCCAUUUAAUAACCCAAUCAUCAAGGCCCAACAGAAAGGCCCAACAAUAAACCCAAGUGAAAUUAGGGUUUCACAUAAAAUGAUGAUUAGGGUUAAGUUUCCUACUUAACCCAUUAAGGACUUAAUCCAUUAAGUCCAUUAUCGCUUAGAUUAAUCUUUGCCAAAGUUUAUUAUUUAAUAUCUCAAGUUAUUAAAUAAUUCUCGUGUGCGUCCCGAUUAAUUCUCAAAAAUUAGGGUUUAAUUGGCAUUAGUGUUUUCCAACCCAAAGACAAACCCAUUUAUUAACUUGUUGGCCUUUUAUGUCAAUUAGGGCUUUAUUGGGCCUAUUAAGCCCACUAAAAUAUUAUUAAGCCCAUUAGGGUUUUAUUGGGUCCAAUAGAGUCCAUUAAGCUUCAUUAGGCCCAUUAGAGCUCCUUUAAGCCCAUUAGGGUUUCAGUCCCGUGUCCAAACAUCCCAACCAAAUCACAACACAACUAAGCACACCGCCACCCGACACGGCGGCCGGUGGCGGCAGCACCCUAAGGUGGUGGUUUUCCAUUUUCUUUUCAUUACUCUUCUUUUUGUUACAUUUUACAACGCUAAAACCCCAAAUAAUCACACACNNNNNNNNNNNNNNNNNNNNNNNNNNNNNNNNNNNNNNNNNNNCGGUGGCAGCCACCACCUCACGGUGGUGGUGGUGCCUUGAACCUAGAAUUCCGGCCAAACACACACUAAGGAAAUAAACACACACACGAAAUUAACCCAUACAUUAGCAUACACAACCGCUAUUGUGGUCCUUGAGGUGGCAGCCACCAUGGCCGGAUGCCAUAGUGGUUCUUCACAGCAACUAUUCGACAGAACCCACACACACACGAAAAUUAGCACAAUACAACAACAUCCAAACCCGCUUGGGGACUACACCAGCCACACCCUCACGUCCUUGCUCGGAGAUAAACACAACCACCCACCUCACGGUGGUGUACGGAGGAGACAACGGCACUAGAAGGCGGCUACAAUGACAUCUAACGGCAGUGGCUAGCGGUCACGAAUAGGAAAUAGCAACAGGAGAACGGGUGAGGAGGAUGAGCAGAGACCACCUUGGACUGAAGCACCAUUGACCACCGGCUAGCGGCGCCUCCGUCUUCAACUGUGGGAGUGCGAGGGGUCGACAACGAAACAGUAGCGAGACAUGUCUUCGCCGGCAGCAAAGCCACGAUGGCUUCUUCGAUGGUGAGGCAGCAGGCGGCGCCAUUUGAGACUCUAUCUGAUCGUCGGCGGCGGAUAAGGAGCAUCAGAAUGAGGUGGCGCCGGAGAUGGGAGAUAUAAGGGUGAGGGGGUGACGGCUAUAAUAUGAUUUAGG
This 2428-nucleotide long non-coding RNA is filed under the name Lactuca sativa (garden lettuce). RNAcentral's name for it is "long non-coding RNA (LSAT_LNC000039)". The record is from RNAcentral. Lineage: Eukaryota; Viridiplantae; Streptophyta; Magnoliopsida; Asterales; Asteraceae.